CAAUAGCGUAUAUUAAAGUUGUUGCAGUUAAAAAGCUCGUAGUUGGAUUUGUGGCGUACGGUGUGUUCCGGGCACUUGUUGUCUGAGUAACCUGCUGUUGCCAUCCUUGGGUGGAACCUGUGUGGCAUUAGGUUGUCGUGCAGGGGAUGCCCAUCAUUUACUGUGAAAAAAUUAGAGUGUUCAAAGCAGGCUUAUGCCGUUGAAUAUAUUAGCAUGGAAUAAUGAGAUAGGACUUUUUUGCUAUUUUGUUGGUUUGCGCAAGAAGGUAAUGAUUAAUAGGGACAGUUGGGGGUAUUCGUAUUCCAUUGUCAGAGGUGAAAUUCUUGGAUUUUUGGAAGACGAACUACCGCGAAAGCAUUUACCAAGGAUGUUUUCAUUAA
RNAcentral lists this ribosomal RNA (380 nucleotides) under uncultured eukaryote. RNAcentral describes it as "partial 18S ribosomal RNA". It matches the Rfam family "Eukaryotic small subunit ribosomal RNA", at positions 592 to 976 of the family's 1831-position model. The record is from RNAcentral.